RNAcentral lists this unclassified non-coding RNA (294 nucleotides) under uncultured fungus. Its description in RNAcentral is "sequence contains ITS1". Lineage: Eukaryota; Fungi. The record is from RNAcentral.
GGACUACUAGGGUUUCUAAUCCGGUUCGCUCCCCACGCUUUCGUGCCUCAGUGUCAGAAAUGGUCCAGUUACCUGCCUACGCCAUUGGUGUUCCUUCUAAUAUCUACGGAUUUCACUCCUACACUAGAAAUUCCAGUAACCUCUACCAUUCUCGAGUUAUGCAGUUUGAAUAAUAGCCUGUACGGUUGAGCCGCCAGAUUUCACUAUUCACUUACAUAACCACCUACGCAACUCUUUACGCCCAGUCACUCCGGAUAACGCUUGGGUCCUACGUAUUACCGCGGCGGCUGGCAC